Molecule: long non-coding RNA, 521 nt
Filed under: Salmo salar (Atlantic salmon)
Lineage: Eukaryota; Metazoa; Chordata; Actinopteri; Salmoniformes; Salmonidae
Description: lncRNA (ENSSSAG00000111349.1)
Source: RNAcentral
UGUGUGUGUGUGUAAGUGGAGCAGCACUAAGGGAGACGGCAGCAUCCUGUCUUGUAGACCUGCGUCACUGGAGACAGAGUGUCAGUGACUUGGAUAAUGGAACCAAUGGCACCAGAACCUUUCGGAUCAAAGCAAUUGGUUAUCAAUGAAGAUGAACAGGAAGGUGAGAAGAGAUGAGAACGUGAGAGGACGUGAGUACAGUCCGGAGGAAUGGUGGCUCCUUGGUUUUGCCAGAGCACGUGAUCACUUCUUAUGGUUGGGUUGGUACAAUCUGUGGGCCAUGCACAGUGUCUGGGGAGACAGAGUGGUCUGCUCCAGGGCAAAGAGAGUGGAAUCUGUGACUACAGCGGAGUCAACCUAAGUUCAGAGUGCUGUACUGCAGCCAGAGGAGGUCUAGUGUUUCCAGUAGCAAGUCCAGCCGUGGCUUUUAUAUCUUGUCUGUAUUAUGUUUCCCCUUUCCUCCAUCUGUCUCUUCUUUUUCCUGUUUAAGUCCUUUAUGUCCACUGGGUGGCCUUCUGUCU